This 245-nucleotide ribosomal RNA is filed under the name uncultured bacterium. RNAcentral's name for it is "partial small subunit ribosomal RNA". It matches the Rfam family "Bacterial small subunit ribosomal RNA", at positions 26 to 286 of the family's 1533-position model. The record is from RNAcentral.
AGAAUCAACGCUGGCGGCGUGCCUAACACAUGCAAGUCGAACGAGAAAGGGGAGCAAUCCCUGAGUAAAGUGGCGCACGGGUGAGUAACACGUGACUAACCUACCCUGGAGUGGGGGAUAACUGAGGGAAACCUUAGCUAAUACCGCAUAAUACCUACGGGUCAAAGGAGCAAUUCGCUUCAGGAGGGGUCGCGGCCGAUUAGUUAGUUGGCGGGGUAAUGGCCCACCAAGACGAUGAUCGGUAU